Long non-coding RNA from Anolis sagrei ordinatus, 667 nucleotides. RefSeq lists it as uncharacterized. Lineage: Eukaryota; Metazoa; Chordata; Lepidosauria; Squamata; Anolidae. The record is from RefSeq and is a predicted model, not a curated record.
CAACAGAUAGUAAGGGCCAGUUCCAAACAGUGGUAUUAAUAGAACCGAGCCUCAGACUGGAAUGACCACUCUCAUGCCUCAGAGCUUCUCAAACAAAGAAUUUCUUCCAGGGUGAAACAGCACAAACACCCAGACAAUCUUAAGUUGUCAUGAGCAACAACAGUUGUGCAGCAAGACUGGAAGGCAUCACAGUAGGCUAUUAAAGGUAGGAUCAGUUACCUAGUUUUUAAAAACAAGAUGUCAGUGAUCUGGUAAAAAUCUUCAGAAGAAAUGGCUACAAUUUCCAAGUACAGCAGCAGUGCAGAUAUCCACAAGAUGAACCAAGUGGAGAAAAAAAACAGGAUGCCAGGACAGUAAAACCCAGAUAUGAUUCAAGAAGAAAGAGAGAGCUCCAUUGGCAUGGCAUAACCAAUAAGCUCUGGGCCACAAAAGCAUUGCCACUCCCUUCUCUGUUUAUGGAACCUUCAAGGCAUGGAUGAAGGACCUUCAGGGCCCACUUGACCGGGGAUCACAGGUUGAGAACCACUGCUUUAGAAGGAGAGAAGAGUGGUCAGCAUCUGGUGGACUCAGUCCUCUUCUCCACUGCCAUUCCUUUUUCCUUGUCUUUUUCUACUAUAAGACUGAGGACCGAGAACUGUCAAAUUAAAAAUGUGGACUCAGGAUGGCU